Molecule: long non-coding RNA, 411 nt
Filed under: Eucalyptus grandis
Lineage: Eukaryota; Viridiplantae; Streptophyta; Magnoliopsida; Myrtales; Myrtaceae
Description: long non-coding RNA (EGRA_LNC003636)
Source: RNAcentral
AAUCUAACAACCUAAACAUAAUUAAUUAAAUCUAAACUAACCUUAAGUAUAAUUAACCAACUAAUCCAGGAUUAUUGAGAUUACUCACCAAAUCGCGCACAAAUCGGAUCAAUCCGACGGGGGCGACGCGAGGAACAAUUCUUUCCAAAGCACGGCUCGGGUUCGGGGCCCGGAAACGGCCCAAAGCAGACCUGAAGCCGGCUGGACACCCACACGAUGGGGUUGCAGGAUCGCUGCAAAACAAAGAGAAAGAGAGAGGGAUGGGGGCGGCAAGGGGUCGGGAAAGAUGGGCGGAGCUCCGGGGAGGCUGCACGACGGUCGAUCGGAGCUGGACGGCGGUUCGAUGAUGGCUGAACAGGGGUUGGACAGCGGCGGGGCAGAGGCGGAAGCUUCGCUGGACGGGGGCAGACG